CCUACGGGAGGCAGCAGUGAGGAAUAUUGGUCAAUGGGCGGGAGCCUGAACCAGCCAAGCCGCGUGAAGGAAGAAGGCGCCAAGCGUCGUAAGCUUCUUUUGUCGGGGAACAAAGGGCGCCACGUGUGGCGUUGUGAGUGUACCCGUAGAAAAAGCAUCGGCUAACUCCGUGCCAGCAGCCGCGGUAAUACGGGGGAAGCGAGCGUUAUCCGGAUUUAGUGGGUUUAAAGGGUGCGUAGGCGGUCCGGAAAGCAGGUGGGAAAAGCCCGGGGCUCAACCCCGGCGAGCCGUUGAAACUGUCGGACUAGAGACGGCGAGAGGUACGCGGAAUGCGCGGUGUAGCGGUGAAAUGCAUAGAUAUCGCGCAGAACUCCGAUUGCGAAGGCAGCGUACCGGCGCCGGACUGACGCUGAGGCACGAAAGCGUGGGUAUCGAACAGGAUUAGAUACCCCUGUAGUC
Molecule: ribosomal RNA, 459 nt
Filed under: uncultured bacterium
Lineage: Bacteria
Description: partial 16S ribosomal RNA
Rfam family: Bacterial small subunit ribosomal RNA
Source: RNAcentral